This is a long non-coding RNA of Panicum virgatum (switchgrass), 1136 nucleotides long. RefSeq lists it as uncharacterized. The transcript has 4 exons. The record is from RefSeq and is a predicted model, not a curated record. Lineage: Eukaryota; Viridiplantae; Streptophyta; Magnoliopsida; Poales; Poaceae.
UUUGUGCUCGCCAGAUCUAGGCGUGGCUUGGCAGUGGUUGGGGCAGGAGGCGCCGAGCGGCGGGUAGGAGACGGAGUCCCGGUGGAGGCGGAGGCGUCGUGUCGACAGCGGGAAGGUGACGCACAGUGGUUGGUUGAUGCAGAGGUGGCCGGAGUCACAUGUGGAAGCGAGGAGGUGAAGGUCACCAGAGUUGGCGUUGUGAGGCGGCUUGCUGCAUUUGGAGGUGCUGCUCCGCGCUACAGGCUACUCCGACCGGGGUGGAAGAGGUGCUGCAGGUUCAAUUCAACCCGCCCUUGACCGAAGGGGAGUGCCGCCUUCAACUCGACCCUUCGACGAUGUGCCAACGAUUCUAGCAAUGGGCGACGAUGAGGCCACGGAUCGAGUUUUUCCAGGCAAAGCAAAGGAAGGGUCACUGCAUAUAGUGUUGGUGUUCCUUGUAUUUGUAUUGACACAAUCCGGGAACUGGUAUAUCUCCAUUAGGUUUACCUCAAUCACAUAUGCUGUGCGUACUUUUUAAAUGUGACAGUUCAUAGAUAUUACUGAUGGUAGGUUAUUGGUUUUUCUUUACAGCUAGAUAUUCUUCAAGUAUUCUUUUAGGUUGUUGGGAUACAGCUAGCAAGUUCAAAGAAUAUGUAGGUUCUUUCCGGGGGUUCUGUGGAUCGAGGUGCUUGUUUGCACAUGAUUUUGCCUUUUUUUAAAAAAAAUUCUGGUAGAUUAUGUAGAAUCAUGGAUCGAUAAUGAUUGCAUUGCUUGAAUUAAGGGGAAGGGAUCAAAGGGUUGCUCCAUGUGCCGAUGUGGUACUGGGUUCUAGGCACAGAUCCACCUCCUAAGCCGGAGAAAAUAAGGUGCACCAAAGCCAGGAUCAGUGCCUGUAGUAUUGGUUUUUCCUUCUAUUGACAAUAUAAGAACUGGCAUAUAUCGAUCAGGUCUUUGCAAUGUACGAGUGGGCAACUUGAAAGGACUGAAAUAAUAAGCAAUUUUAUCUCAUGCUAGAAAUUGUAGUAUAUUGAAGAAGCUAACAGCAUGUACAUAGCUUAUAAUGAUGCUCUAGUUAUUUUUCCCUAAAUCUGCAUCACAUUAGUUGAAUAUGUAAGAAACUUUUUAUGAUGGUUUUAGAAGGAUUUGUACAUGGAUCU